This 154-nucleotide non-coding RNA is filed under the name human oral metagenome. The record is from RNAcentral.
GGUUUUCCUCUGACGGGGGGAAGGGAAUCCGGUGAGAAUCCGGAGCAGUGCCUGCUGCUGUUAGCUCCAUGCGUGGGAGUGCCACAUGUCGCCACUGAUCGUAAGGGUUGGGAAGGCGUGGCAUUUCGGGAGUGAGCCAGAAAACCUGCCGCAA